RNAcentral lists this long non-coding RNA (41452 nucleotides) under Triticum aestivum (bread wheat). Its description in RNAcentral is "long non-coding RNA (TAES_LNC002061)". The stretch from base 26180 to 26266 matches the Rfam family "MIR1120/MIR1122 microRNA precursor family". Lineage: Eukaryota; Viridiplantae; Streptophyta; Magnoliopsida; Poales; Poaceae. The record is from RNAcentral.
GAGGAGGAAGAGGAGGAGGAGGUCGUACCACCGCGCUCGGAAAGGCGGUCGAAGCUUGUCCACGACCCUUCGACUGAACGUGGUAAGGGGGUUGCGACCGCCGCUCAGUCGACCAAACGCCCUCGGACCACCUCUCCAGUGCCGACUGAAAAAGGCGCGAAGCAGCCUAGGGCGGCCUCGUCGAAGCCGAUCAAGCUCCUGCCGAAGAUGAAGGUGUCCAUCCCCACCAUAUCAGGGUAAUCGUGCUGCUUAAGUCUUCUUAUUUUAUGCGAACUUUGUCUCUGGUUGACGCUGAAGUUAGUCGACUGAUUCUUUGGAGUUGCAGUGCUGCUACUUCUGAGACCUCAGCCCGGGCUGAUGACCAUGAGAUGGAGGACGCAGCAACUUCAAAACCAGGUACUAUAUUCUUAACGCCGUUUUUAGUCGACUGACUCGCGAUCUCUGAUCCUGAUUCUUCUCCGUAGCUCCACCCAACGCUGUUAUCAAUCUCCCUGAUGAUGAUGAGGAUGAGGAACUGCUGAAGCGCAGAAGGAGUAGGAAAGCGUCUGCCAGCAAGGUGCCCCAGGAUGUGACGGCGCCUGAGAUUCUGAUUGCGGAGGAAGAGAACACCACUCGACACACGGUGUCCUUCGCAGAUCCAUUGACGAGUGCUCAGCAGCCCUCCCUCUUCACGACGCACCACGUCCCAGAGGACCAAGCUGGCGCGGCGAAGGAGGCAAUACGCCAGGCGGGAAUCAUGAUGGAGCAGUUGAAGACCAUCCGGGAUGCGAGCCAGGCAGCUUAUGACGCCAGUUCUGCCCUCCAAAGCAAUGUUCAGGUCAGUCGACCACCGUUUGUUCUGUUGGAUAUGCUACUAAAAACUUUUCCUUUCCGGAAUUUAUAGUAGUCACCCACUGGGUGUGUCGAUUAAACUCCGUGUUAGCGGGGGCACGCUGAGUGCACCCGCUGGGUGUAGUCCCCAAGGCUAAGGUCGACUGCUGGCAGUCGGCCUUAGGCUUUAUGAUGUCAAUCUUUCUGUCAGUCGACUAUGCCCAGCGGGUGUGUCGAUUAAACUCCGUGUUAGCGGGGGCACGCUGAGUGCACCCGCUGGGUGUAGUCCCCAAGGCUAAGGUCGACUGCUGGCAGUUGGCCUUAGGCUUUAUGAUGUCAAUCUUUCUGUCAGUCGACUAUGUCGACUGGAUUUCACAAACCGGUGGGGGCACGCUGAGUGCACCCACUGGGUGUAGUCCCCGAGACUAUGGUCGACUGCUUGCAGUUGAUCACAGUCUUAAAGAAUACAUCUCUCUUCUUUUUUUUUGAGGUCGACUGGUCGACUUUAUCUUCAACAGGAUUAGUGGGGGCACGCUGAGUGCACCCAUUGGGUGUAGUCCCCGAGACUACGGUCGAAUGCUUGUAUUCGGCUGUAGUCUUAGAAACGUGUGUUUUUUCUUUUUUCACUCGGAAGUGAAUUAUAUUUGACAUUUAGUCGAUUGGUUCUUCGCAGAACUCCUGUGAUCUUGUGGCUCGCUACUCUGAGCUGGAAAACAAGCACACUCAACUCGAGCUGAGCUUGAAGCUGGUUCAGGAGAAGCUGACGAAGGCAAAGGAGGAGACCGAAGGUAUGUUUGGUGAGACCCUGACGACUGCUUUUCCCCUUGCUUGUUUCAAAAUCUGAUCUUGCUGUAACUUGUAGGUAAGGUAAGGGAGGCCCAACAGAAGAAAGACCUCGAACUAGCUGAGAAGAUCAAGCUUGCUGACGAGAAGUUAGCUUCAGUCACCAAGCUUGAACAAGACAAUACCAAUCUGAAAGCUGCUCUUGGGAUCGCCAACAAGGAGGUCAGUCGACUAAAAACUGAUAAAGCUGCCCUGACCGACCAAGUCAGUAAGUUGACUGGGAAGAAAAAUGAUCUGGAGGCCUUCCUGAGUGGUCUUGCCAAGAAGCUGUUUCUUCUGCUUGAAGGUAAACCUCUAUGCUCGGCAAACAUUUCCAAUCGUGGUUUUUCCAUUCGACCAUCCCCUUGACUUAGUGAUCAUCCUUGCAGAAUUUUGUCAAAACUUUGAAGAAGAAACUAGCCGGCUGGAGCCAAACCUCGACCCCGUCAAUUCUCCGGUGAACGACGAAGUUGCCAUGGAUGUUUUCCGACUGGAGUCUCGUGUUGCAGCUGUCGUGGACUAUCUCGCAAGGCUGAAGGCCGCCACAUCUCGCAUCGACUCGACGCUCUGGCCUGAGGAGACACUUCAGAAUGACCUUGAGUCGCUGAUGGCCCGCUUGAACACGAUCCCUGGUCGAGUGCAGGAAUGGAAGAAGUCCUCGGCUCGGUGUGGUGCAGAUGUUGCUCUGUGUCUGGCCCGAGUCCACUAUAAAGAUGCGCGAGAAGAGAAGCUGGCGGCCCUUCGGGUGGCCAACACCAAGAAACACGACUUCAGGUCCUUUAUGGAAACUUUCCUUGCGGCUGCCACUCGGAUCGCCGACGGAAUUGACCUUGAUGAAUUCAUUGCACCUUCUAGCCCUCCACAGGAGGGGUAAAAAACUUCUUCUGGCUCGACGCUUUAAAUUUGCCUCGGUAUGCCGAGUGGAAUUGUAACCGAUAAACCUUAACAGGCUUAACGCCUGAGCACUUUCGGUUCCUUUAGAUAUCGAUUCAAACUUGAAUUUGGUGCUUGAAUACGAUUGCCUUUGGCUCGAAAUGUCUUUUGCAGGUUCGAAGCAAGGCGCCUUUACUGCAAUCGAUUUAUUCUUUAGUCCACUUAGGCGAGCACUGGGCUGCGGCUAAGCCUCCGAGUGGAAGCCCGGCUUACCACUCGGUAGGAUUUCUGUAACUUAGGCGAGCACUGGGCUGCAACUAAGCCCCCGAGUGAGAGGUUUACUCUUCACUCGGUAGGAUUUUGAUAACUUAGGCUAGCACUGGGCUGCAGCUAAGCCUCCGAGUGAGAGGUUUGCUCUUCACUCGGUAGGAUUUUUAUAACUUAGGCGAGUGCUUGGACUACAGCUAAGCCUCCGAGUGAGAGGUUUGCUCUUCACUCGGUAGGAUUUUUAUAACUUAGGCGAGUGCUUGGACUGCAGCUAAGCCUCCGAGUGAGAGGUUUGCUCUUCACUCGGUAGGAUUUUUAUAACUUAGGCGAGUGCUUGGACUGCAGCUAAGCCUCCGAGUGAGAGGGUUGCUCUUCACUCGGUAGGAUUUUUUAUAACUUAGGCAAGCACAGGGCUGCAGCUAAGCCUCCGAGUGGAAGUCUGGCUUACCACUCGGUAGGAUUUUUUGUUNNNNNNNNNNNNNNNNNNNNNNNNNNNNNNNNNNNNNNNNNNNNNNNNNNNNNNNNNNNNNNNNNNNNNNNNNNNNNNNNNNNNNNNNNNNNCGGUAGGAUUUUUGUAACUUAGGCGAGUGCUUGGACUGCAGCCAAGCCCCCGAGUGAGAGGCUUGCUCUUCACUCGGUAGGAUUUUUUACAACUUAGGCGAGCGCAGGGCUGCAGCUAAGCCUCCGAGUGGAAGUCUGCCUUACCACUCGGUAGGAUUUUUUACAACUUAGGCGAGUGCUUGGACUGCAGCUAAGCCUCCGAGUGAGAGGGUUGCUCUUCACUCGGUAGGAUUUUUGUAACUUAGGCGAGUGCUUGGACUGCAGCUAAGCCCCCCGAGUGAGAGGCUUGCUCUUCACUCGGUAGGAUUUUUUACAACUUAGGCGAGCGCAGGGCUGCAGCUAAGCCUCCGAGUGGAAGUCUGGCUUACCGCUAGGUAGGAUUUUGAUAACUUAGGCGAAACGGAUUCGCAGCUAAGCCUCCGAGUGGGAGUCUGGCUCACCACUCGGUAGGAUUUUUACAAACUUAGGCGAAACGGAUUCGCGGCUAAGUCACCCACUGAGGGGGAAUUUUAUUGGACAAAAAUAAAAAGUGACAGAAAUUAUGGAGGAACUAUGACACUAUUAUUUUGAGGUCCAUGAACUACAGAAGUACUUUAUUGCAACUCAUCCGAGUGAUAAAACUUAAGUAUAAAAUGGGCGGAGUAGUUCCGCGUUCCAAGCUCGGGGCUCGUCGAUAUUAUGCUCGACGUUGUAAAGACGGUACGCCCCGUUGUGGAGAACCUUGGUGACGAUGAAGGGACCUUCCCAAGAAGGAGCAAGCUUGUGUGGUUUGUGCUGAUCCACUCGGAGAACUAAAUCUCCUUCCUGGAAGGCUCGACCUCUCACAUUUCUGGCGUGGAAACAACGCAAAUCUUGUUGGUAGAUGGUCGAACGGAUCAGAGCCAUCUCCCUUUCUUCCUCUAAAAGGUCGACUGCGUCCUGCCGCGCUUGUUCAGCCUCUGCUUCGUUGUAGAUUUCAACUCGAGGAGCAUUGUGGAGAAGAUCACUCGGCAAGACUGCUUCAGCUCCGUAGACCAAGAAGAAUGGAGUUCUUCCGGUCGACCGAUUAGGUGUGGUCCGCAGCCCCCAAAGCACUGAGGGAAGUUCGUCGACCCAAGCUCCAGCCGCGUGUUUGAGAUCACGCAUCAGUCGGGGCUUCAAUCCCUUAAGAAUCAGUCCAUUAGCUCGCUCCGCUUGUCCAUUCGACUGCGGAUGGGCGACUGAAGCGUAGUCGACCCGUGUGCCUUGGGAGUUGCAGAAAUCUCUGAAUUCCUCCGAGUCAAAGUUCGACCCAUUAUCCGUAAUGAUGCUGUGCAGGACUCCAUAUCUGAAUAUUAGUUCCCUGAUGAAGCUAACAGCAGUACCGGUGUCAAGGUUCUUGAUUGGUUUAGCCUCGAUCCACUUGGUAAACUUGUCGACUGCCACCAGUACAUGCGUGAAGCCACUUCGUCCUGUUCUCAAAGGACCGACCAUGUCCAGUCCCCAUACUGCGAAAGGCCAGACGAGUGGGAUGGUCUUCAGAGCCGACGCAGGCUUGUGCGACAUAUUCGAGUAGAACUGACAUCCCUCGCACUUAUCCACUAUCUCUUUUGCCAUCUCAUUCGCCUUUGGCCAGUAAAAUCCGGCUCGGUAUGCUUUGGCCACGAUGGUCCGAGAGGACGCAUGAUGACCACAGGUCCCCGAGUGGAUAUCAUUGAGGAUGAGUCGACCUUCUUCUGGUGUUAUGCACUUCUGACCAACUCCAGUCGCGUUUUCUCUGUAUAAUUGUCCUUUGAUUACGGUAAAGGCCUUAGAUCGACGGACGAUCUGUCGAGCCUCUUUCACAUCCUCCGGAAGCUCUUUUCUCAGGAUAUACGCGACAUACGGAACUGUCCAGUCGGGAAUGACCACCAAGACCUCCAUGAUCAAGUCGACCACCGCUGGGACCUCAAUCUCAGUCGGAUCUGUGGCGCUCUUGGGCUGUGGAGUUUCUUCGGUGAAAGGAUCUUCUUUGACUGACGGAGUGUGUAUAUGCUCCAAGAACACACCACUCGGAAUGGCUUCUCUCUUGGAACCUAUCUUUGCUAGAUCAUCAGCUGCUUGAUUUUUCAGUCGGGGUAUAUGAUGGAGCUCCAACCCCUCGAACUUCUUUUCCAGCUUCCUCACUGCACUGCAGUAUCCAGUCAUGGCUGGGCUUCUCACGUCCCACUCUUUCAUCACCUGGUUGACCACUAAAUCCGAGUCACCAUAGACCAUCAGGCGACGGACGCCGAGUGAAAUGGCCAUGCGCAACCCAUAUAAGAGGGCCUCAUAUUCUGCCUCAUUGUUGGAGGAAUCAAAGUGAAUCUGGAGCACAUAUCUGAGCUUAUCUCCUCUGGGGGAAACCAGGACAACCCUAGCACCGGAACCAUUCAACAUCUUAGAGCCAUCAAAGAACAUGGUCCAAUGCUCCGAGUGAACUUCAGUCGACUGCUGUUGUUCAAUCCACUCGGCGAGGAAAUCUGCUAUUGCCUGGGACUUAAUGGCUUUCUUUGCCUCAAACUUGAUAUCAAGGGGAAGAAGUUCAAUCGCCCAUUUGGCCACUCGACCAGUUGCAUCUCUGUUGUGCAAAAUCUCUGAUAGUGGAGCGUCGCUGACGACUGUGAUGGAAUGAUCAGAAAAAUAAUGAGCAACCUUCUUUGUGGUCAUGUAUAUUCCAUACACAAGCUUUUGAUAAUGAGGAUAUCUCUGCUUGGACGGAGUCAAGACUUCAGACAAAUAAUACACUGGGCGCUGAACUUUGAGAGCUUUUCCUUCUUCUUCCCGCUCGACCGUAAGCACAGUACUGACGACUUGUCCUGUGGCUGCGAUAUAGAGCAACAGAGGCUCUUUGCUGAUUGGAGCAGCAAGCACCGGCUGGGUGGAGAGCAGAGCUUUUAACUCGGCAAACGCUGCAUCAGCUUCUGGAGUCCACUCGAACUUGUCUAUCUUCUUCAUCAGUCGGUAAAGAGGCAAUGCCUUUUCACCGAGUCGUGAGAUGAAUCGACUUAAUGCGGCCAAGCAUCCAGUAAGCUUCUGGACAUCGUGCACUCGCACAGGGCGUUUCAUUCGGAGAAUAGUGCCAAUCUUCUCUGGGUUAGCGUCGAUUCCCCGUUCGGAAACGAGAAAACCGAGUAAGUUGCCACCAGGAACUCCAAAUGUGCACUUUGAUGGAUUGAGCUUGAUAUCAUAUCUUCUGAGGUUGGCAAAUGUUUCGGCGAGAUCAGCGAGCAGGUCGGAACCUUUUCGUGACUUGACAACGAUAUCAUCCAUAUAUGCUUCCACAUUCCGACUGAUUUGAGUGAGUAAACACUUCUGAAUCAUUCGCAUAAAUGUGGCUCCGGCAUUCUUGAGGCGGAAUGGCAUGGUGAUAUAGCAGAAGCACCCGAAUGGAGUGAUGAAAGCUGUUUUUACCUCGUCGGGUCCGUACAGACGGGUCUGGUGGUACCCGGAGUAGGCAUCUAAAAAAGACAGCCUCUCGCAUCCCGCGGUCGAGUCAACAAUUUGAUCUAUGCGAGGGAGAGGAAAAUGAUCUUUCGGGCAGGCCCGGUUGAUGUGCUUGAAAUCAAUGCACAUUCGGAGUGACUUGUCCUUCUUAGGAACCAUGACGACAUUAGCGAGCCACUCGGAGUGGUAUAUCUCUCGGAUAAAUCCUGCCGCCAACAGUCGAGCCACUUCCUCACCAAUGGCUUUUCUCUUCUGGACGGCGGACCGCCGAAGAUGCUCUUUGACUGGUUUUGCAGACGAGUCGGCUCUUAGGCGAUGCUCAGCCAGUCCCCUGGGAACACCUGGCAUGUCAGCGGGCUUCCAUGCAAAAAUGUCCCAGUUCUCACGGAGGAACUGGAUGAGCGCUUCUUCCUAUUUUGGGUCGAGUGUUGUAGAGAUGCGGGUCGGGGCUGCAUCGGGGUCGGUCGGGUGAAUGUGAACAGGCUUCGUCUCACCGGACGACUGAAAUGCAGACUCUGUGGCGGGUUUCUUUGAUCGCAGCAAGUCACUCGGAUCUGCGUUUUGCUUGUAUUCCUCGAACUCGACCGCUGUCACCUGGGAAUCGGCAAUCUUUGAGCCCUUCUGAAAGCACUCUUCUGCCUUUUUCCGAUCACCGGUGACAGUGAUUACUCCUUUGGGGCCGGGCAUCUUCAAUUUGAGGUACACGUAACAUGGUCGAGCCAUGAACCGUGCGUAAGCUGGCCUCCCCAAAAUGGCAUGAUAUGCACUCUGGAAAUCCACGAUCUCAAACGUCAACUUUUCUUUGCGAAAAUGUUUCGAAUCACCAAACACCACGUCCAAAGCUAUUUGGCCGAGUGACUCGGCUUUCUUCCCUGGUAUAACUCCAUGAAAGCUCAUGUUACUAGUGCUCAGUCGGGACAUCGGAAUGCCCAUUCCUUUCAGUGUGUCUGCAUACAACAAAUUCAGCCCGCUUCCAUCGUCCAUCAGCACUUUUGUCAAUCGAGUGCCUUCGACAACUGGAUCGACCACCAAAGCUUGCCUCCCAGGGGUGGCAAUAUGAGUCGGGUGAUCAGAUUGGUCGAAUGUGAUGGGUAUUUGAGACCAUUUCAGAUAAUUUGCUUUUGCUGGGGCAACCAUGUUCACCUCUCGGUUAAUGACUUUCAGUCGACUCCUGCUUUCCACAUCUGCAAAGAUCAUCAGAGUGGAGUUGAUAUGCGGAUAUCCUUCCUCACUGUCCUCCUUGUCUUCGGCCUUGUCCGACUCCUUCUCCUUGUCCUUAGACUGUUUUCCCUGAAACUGCUGGAUCAGGAGUCGACAUUGGCGAGUGGUGUGCUUCGGGUAGAUGAUAUUCCCCUCUUCGUCUUUCUUCGUGUGGAUGUGGCAUGGCAUAUCCAUUACGUCGUUCCCUUCUUUAUCCUUUACCUUCUUGGGGUUCCAGGAUCCUUUUGGUUUCCCCUUAAACUUUCCCUGAGUCACGGCCGGAGCCUCUCCAGGAGCUGCCGGUUCAGCCUUCCGCUUCUGUUUCCGACUGGUGUUUCCUUUUUCCGACUGACUCGGCUUGUGCUUGCCGCUUCGGAGUCGGUCUUCUUCUUCGCCGUUGGCGUACUUGGUAGCAAUCUCCAUCAUCCGACUCAAGGUCAUGUCACCGAUUCGACCAAACUUCAAACUCAGUUCUCUGUUCUUGACGCCAUCUUUGAAGGCGCAGACUGCCUGAUGAUCAGACACAUUCUUCACAGUGUGGUGCAAAGUGAUCCACCUCUGAAUAUACUCUCUGAGAGUCUCAUUAGCCUUCUGCACGCAGACUUGCAACUCUGUCAAUCCAGCUGGUCGCUUGCAAGUUCCUUCAAACGUUCUGAUGAACACUCGGGACAGAUCUUCCCAAGUGUAAAUGCUGCUAGGAGGUAAUUGAGUCAACCAUGCCCUGGCAGAACCUUCCAGCAUGAGGGGCAAAUGCUUCAUGGCCACCUCGUCGUUCCCACCACCAAUCUGAACUGCCACUCGGUAGUCUUCAAGCCAAGUUUCAGGCUUAGACUCACCAGUGAACUUGCUGACUCCUGUUGCCAACCUGAAAUUGGGAGGGAUAACUGCGGCUCUGAUAGCUCUGCUGAAACAUUCAGGACCAGAUACAUGCACUCGACUGCUUGUGGGUGCAUCUCUGUCGAGUCCGCCUCGAUGGGCUCUGUUCCGGUCGACCAAACCUUGCACGAUAAUGGAUCGCGCGUCGAAGCCUGGUUCUCUGGGGUCGACUGGAACCCUCCGCCCUGUACUGUACUGACGCCUGUCAUCUGGCUGCCGAGGAGCGUAAGACCCACCCCUCGGAGGGGAAUUGGGCACUCAACGCCUGUCAUCUCGGUCGAGUCGGUCGCCAUAUUGAUCUCGCCGAUUCUCGCGCCCUUCACGCCGCGGAGGCGAUCUGGGGCUGUGAGCCGACUGAACCGUAUUCGCAGUGACGGAUCGACUGUGAAUUCUAUUGCGCGACUGAGACACGGCUGAAUUCUGAUCUCCUGCUGCCCGGAGCAGAUCCCUGAUCUGCAGCAAACCUCUGCCAGCUUCCGACUGCGAAGGCUGGAUGGACUCUGCUAUACGGGUCGCAGCUGCUAAAUUCUGGAUUGGGGUUCGAUAUACCUGAGUCGGUGGGAAGAGUUGACGCCGACUGGUGUCGGGAACUCGUUGCCGCGCGCGCUCGUCGAGUGCUCGCUGAAGAUUCUCCAGUCGAGUGCGUUCGGCCAAAUUGGCCAGACGUGCCUCCUCCAAGGCACGAGCCUCGGGGGUUUCUCCUGCGAUGGGAGUACGCAGAGCAUCCACGUUCCUACGGCGAAGUUCCUCUCUUUGCAGAGAGUCGAGUGACUAGGGCUGGUACUCUUCGUGGCCUCGUGCGGGGUCGCCUCCGUCACCUGCUCCACCAUCACGGGCGAAGCCAGGGGGACUGCGGGGCCCGUCGACCAUCAAGAUUUCCGCCGCUGGAUCACUGCUACCGCACUCGGAUGCAGUCUCUACGGAGCCAGUCGACAGAUCGAACAAGCCGUAGAGAGAUUCGUCGGGCUCGAUUGCCGCAACUUGGGUGGUGGCCGAUUGGCGAGCCACCGCGUGCCUCACCCAUCGCUGAAGCCUCGACCGGCCCGAGCGCUUGCGCUGGCGGGAGACCGGGAGGGUGGACGAUGGAGGAGUCGUCCGAUACGGGGUCGACAGUUGCCGCAGCAGAACGCCGCGGACACAUGCGCGAAAAUGCGUCGCACCGCGGACGGGGAGCGCAUCAACGUCGAGUGGAGCCUCCUGGAGCCAGGCGGAGUCGUCGGCGAUGAAGGUGAGAGUGCCGAGACAGAUCUCUCGACCUUCAACCAAAACUCCAGCAGACACCAUCAUGAAAGUACUCGGAAGAAUCGCAACUUCUCCACAAAAUCGCUAAAACACCUGCCCCACGGUGGGCGCCAACUGUCGUGGUUCUAAGCCUGACAGUAGAGUGGGGGGGUAGGUAUGGAGAGGCAAGGUCCUAGCUAUGGAGAGGUUGUAAACACAAGGGAUGUACGAGUUCAGGCCCUUCUCGGAAGAAGUAAUAGCCCUACGUCUCGGAGCCCGGAGGCGGUCGAGUGGAUUAUGAGUAUAUGAGUUACAAGGUGCCGAACCCCUCUACCUGUGGAGGGGGGUGGCUUAUAUAGAGUGCGCCAGGACCCCAGCCAGCCCACGUAGGAGAGGGUUUAAGGUGAGUUAAGUCUGGGGCGUUACUGGUAACGCCCCACAUAAAGUGUCUUUACUAUCAUAAAGCCUACUUAAUUACAGGCCGUUGCAGUGCAGAGUGCCUCUUGACCUCCUGGUGGUCGAGUGAGUCUUCGUGGUCGAGUCCUUCAAGUCAGUCGAGUGAGUCCCUCAUUGGUCGACUGGAAGGCGACCUCUUCUAAGGGUGUCCUUGGGUAAGGUACUUUGAUCAGGUCCAUGACCCUACCCUAGGUACAUGACCCCAUCACUCGGCCAUCGGGAGAGGGGGGGAAGAGGGAGGGGCUGGGCGGCGGCUCACGGGAGAGGGAGAGGGAGAGGGAGAGGGAGGGCUCGGCGGCGGCGCUCGGGAAAGGUAAAGCUCGACGGCGAGGGCGGGGCUAGUGUGGCCACAGGCGAGCGAGGCCACCAGCUUAUAUAGCCGCGCCGCGCCCGUGUGUACGCGUGCGAGGGAGGGGAGGCGUCGGCGCGCCGUCCCGUGACGCGCCGCCCAUGAGGAAUCAAUGGCAAGGCUGACCGGCGGCAGCCUUGCCAUUGAUUCCCCACGAGGGAAACCGAGGCGUUGGGGGAGGACGAGGCGCGGUGUCGCUGACGCGGCUGGCCCGCGGCUUUUUCGCGCCAAAACCACUGGCCCCGGCGCCCCCGGACGCCCCUUAGCGCGCCGGGUUUGGCCUGGAUCCGCCGGCGCUGAUUUCGGCCCAAGCCGGCGAAAAUCGGACUCCUGGGACGCGACUGGGCCCUUUUUUCGAUGCCGACGCAAAAAAAUCGCCUGGUGAGGUCUCCCUGUGGGUGUGGCUGGAGAUACUCUUACAUCCGGCGCUAAAAGACAUUUAGGGAUGCAUGUCAAGUCAACAUUUCAUCACGUGGUUAGGUCAAUAUUCUAGAGGAAUUGACCAAUCGAUUAAGUAGUAGUAGUACACUGGUAGCAGCAUGCAUGCACGCAGUUCCAAGUCCAAGUCAAGGCCACGAGUACGUACCUAGUUGUAUGCACGACGUACGCAGCUCGACCAUGAUAGGGAUCUUCGGCAAGCCUUUGCUGAGGUGACACAGGUUGAUGCACCACUGUUACCUGUGAAGGAAUUUCACCACGGGGUUUGUAGUGUGGUCUCCCAUGCCCUCUGCCUGGGAUCCCAACGCCUUUGCACCGGGAGAAGGAUGCAUGGUGCCUCUCACUCUCAGCGACGUAGCACGAGUGUAGAAAAGAAGAACAGGGCAUGCAACACGUCCCGAUGGCCAAGCACAUGGAGCAUAUGUUGUUGGAGGUUUUUUGGCGACUUGUCAGAGAUGAGCAAAGUGGAGGUUGUUGAGUAAAAGAUGAAAACCUACCUCGACAAGUACAGGAAAAAUAGUCUCGCGCGCUGCAAGUGAUAGAGGCGUUGAGCACCUUGGCAGGCAUGGCUGGGAAGUCGAAGUUUUUUUUUUUUUUUUGAAGAGAGGCAAAAGAUUUACCUCAUUCAUUUAAUAAGAGGAAUAGAGUUUAUGGUUGUAUUACAACACAGACAGCGCCGCAACAACACAAGUGAAUGUGACCAACUACUCUCGCGUCAUCAAGUAUCCCAACUUUCUAGCACCCGCAAUUACCCAAAGCAUGGCCUCCUUCUUGAUGUUGGCGAGUAGGACCGUUGGUGGGGCACUCUUGUGACGGAACACUCGCGCAUUCCUCUCAUUCCAAAUGGUCCAGGCGACGAGCAUGGUGAGCGAGGCCAUCGCCUUCCUGUUGGGGGUAGAUGUGUCGGAGAGGCCGACCCACCGCUCUUCGAUGUUGUCCGAGAGGUGCCAUGAGGAUGUAUCGAUGCUCAGCAGUUGCAGCCAGUCCUUGACUAAUCCCUAUAGGCGGAUAGAGAAGCAGCAUUUGUAGAAAAGGUGAUCAACAGACUCUUGCUCCCGCUUGCAAAGUGUACAAAGGCCACAGUUUAGCCAUCCGCGCUUCUUCAAUCUGUCCGCCGUCCAAAUCCUGUUGGGGGAAGUCGAAGUUGAACCCUACAGGAUGUUUCGAACACGAUAAUGUUAGCCGAUGGUGCUUCAAUUUAGAGGCGGUGACGAGGCUUGAUAUGGCUUAGAUUUGUGAGCGGCUAGUGGCCAGUUCAGUUGCAUUUGAGCCAUGCUUUGUAGCUUUGGACCAUGGCACUCUUAUGUCUGGCUUAGAAGGCGUUCCUUGAUGUGAUGUCGCGAGCCAAAAUACUAGUGUUUUUUUGGGUUUUCACUCGGUUUUCCUUUCUAAUUAUCCGGGAAUGUUUGGUUUUAUGUUCUGCAUUUUCCUUAUAGACUGGACCAUCUUUUUUUCUUUUAAAUCAACUGCAGGAAUCACCUGCCCUCGCGAUGAGGUUCUUCAAAGAUUAUGUACAUCAGUUAAGCGUACAAAGUUAAUUUAGAAAACUUGUCGCUUGUCUGGCCUAACUACACCUUACCAAGAGAGUUAUGAUCAGUAACUUAGAUGUUUUGAUCUCAUCCCUUGAGUAGGGCAUGUGGUACCUACUUCACCUCAUGGCCCCAGUAUUAUCUAAUUAUACUGCGGUUGUAAUAUGUAUGUUUUUAGUUAACAAAUGUAUGGUGUUUUGAGCAAGCGCUAUUAGGUAAGCAUGAAUUAACAGUAGACAAGGCGAAUUCUCACCAAGAGGUUUAGCAGUUUUCUUCUUCAAUAAAAAAAGAGACCAGAUCAAUUACCAAAGUCCAGCAUCACAAACCACACAUAAAAAACUGUAUUCUCCUUGGAAGUUGAUCGUCUUCUAUCCCAGGACGAACUGAUGGCACGUCGCCGCUACCAGAGACGAUCUGACUUUGUCACAUGUGGCUAGAAAGGCUUCGAGGCUACAGUCCAUCUAGAUCAGCCACCCAAGAGAGACGGCAUCGCCGAAGGAUUCGGCCUCAACCAACGCUAGAAGAUUUGUGUGCAAACUCUUGUAUUCAUUGGCAAAUGCCGUAUCUAUAGACACACGCGCGCACGCAAGUAAAUGGCAUAAAACUACCACAAUUUGGGCCAGGGUUCUAGAAAACUACCACUUCUUGAAAAUUUCCUACACCUGCCACAAAUUUGGUUUUUGAUUUCAGAAAACUACCAUGUUACAUUAAUGAGUGGGUUGGUUCAUUUUAAGCACGACUAUGAUGGAUCGAUCGGGUCCACUCGUCAGGUCUAACGUGGCAUAAAAGUCAACACCAUUAGCUUUGACUGUUAGAUUGAAAGUUAAGAUAGAGGGCCCCAUAGAUCAGCCNNNNNNNNNNNNNNNNNNNNNNNNNNNNNNNNNNNNNNNNNNNNNNNNNNNNNNNNNNNNNNNNNNNNNNNNNNNNNNNNNNNNNNNNNNNNNNNNNNNNNNNNNNNNNNNNNNNNNNNNNNNNNNNNNNNNNNNNNNNNNNNNNNNNNNNNNNNNNNNNNNNNNNNNNNNNNNNNNNNNNNNNNNNNNNNNNNNNNNNNNNNNNGACGGCGCUGGCCAUCGGUCUGCUGCACUUUGGGGAAGGCGGACGAGCGAGACCGCACGGCUGGCCGGCUGCCGCCGGUAGUCACUAGAGAACCCCUCGCAUUGCAUGUGAUGCGCUCAACAAGAGAACCCCGUCGCCGAGAAUAGUUGCUUUGUCACUCACGGUGGCAUCAAUGGCGCACGACCGCCACAGCCACAACGUCGGUGGCUCCUGGUCCUCCGAGUGGCCGGUGCGGCCCGUUGAGCCGUUAUUUCUAUUAUUUAAAUUCAUGAAUUCUUUGAUUACCAAUGAUACAUAAAUGGUUAUAUUUGAAGCCUUGUGGUUGAAAAUCGUAACAUAUCAAAGAAAUUGUGCCACUGCAUUCAACAAAUAGAGGCGAUAUCAAUCAAACCCAAAACCAACACAGAUCAAUGCACAUACAAGAAACUUAGAGGAGAGCUUCAACUUUUUAUUUAAAUCUAUCAUUUACAAUGACACCAAGGAUACAGGCUUAGCAGUUUGCACAGCUCUCAACAUAUCCUCUUAACCAUAAAAUGUAGCAUAUGCACAACGAACAGUAAGCUAAAAUGAAAGUUUUGAUGGAGACUGAGCUCCAUCACACCUUUUUUUUAAACAAGGCAAAAGACUUGCUAUUUUCAUUGAUUAAGAAGAAGAGAAUUGCCCGGUUAAUUGACGGAAAACCAGGCUAAAACCGAUACAACCCAACCAAUAUAACAUGGGUACCACCAACCAACCUGGCCACCGACAUGGAACACGGCUGCAAAGAAGAAAUACAUCCGCCGAGGAGUCGCAAGCGUCAUCAUCAUCACCGGUUGCUGAAGGAAAUAUGCCCUAGAGGCAAUAAUAAAGUUAUUAUUUAUUUCCUUAUAUCAUGAUAAAUGUUUAUUAUUCAUGCUAGAAUUGUAUUAACCGGAAACAUAAUACAUGUGUGAAUACAUAGACAAACAGAGUGUCACUAGUAUGCCUCUACUUGACUAGCUCGUUAUUCAAAGAUGGUUAUGUUUCCUAACCAUGAACAAGGAGUUGUUAUUUGAUUAACGAGAUCACAUCAUUAGGUGAAUGAUCUGAUUGACAUGAUCCAUUCCAUUAGCUUAGCACCCGAUCGUUUAGUAUGUUGCUAUUGCUUUCUUCAUGACUUAUACAUGUUCCUAUGACUAUGAGAUUAUGCAACUCCCGUUUGCCGGAGGAACACUUUGUGUGCUACCAAAUGUCACAACGUAAAUGGAUGAUUAUAAAGGUGCUCUACAGGUGUCUCCAAAGGUACAUGUUGGGUUGGCGUAUUUCGAGAUUAGGAUUUGUCACUCCGAUUGUCGGAGAGGUAUCUCUGGGCCCUCUCGGUAAUGCACAUCACAUAAGCCUUGCAAGCAUUGCAACUAAUGAGUUAGUUGCGAGAUGUGCUGGUAACGAGAUUGAACUAGGUAUUGAGAUACCGACGAUCAAAUCUCGGGAAAGUAACAUACCGAUGACAAAGGGAACAACGUAUGUUGUUAUGCGGUCUGACCGAUAAAGAUCUUCGUAGAAUAUGUAGGAGCCAAUAUGAGCAUCCAGGUUCCGCUAUUGGUUAUUGACCGGAGACAUGUCUCGGUCAUGUCUACAUUGUUCUCGAACCCGUAGGGUCCGCACGCUUAAGGUUUCGAUGACAGUUAUAUUAUGAGUUUAUGAGUUUUGAUGUACCGAACUUAGUUCGGAGUCCCGGAUGUGAUCACGGACAUGACGACGAGUCUCGAAAUGGUCGAGACAUAAAGAUUGAUAUAUUGGACGGCUAUAUUCGGACACCGGAAGUGUUCCGGGUGAUUUCGGAGAAAACCGGAGAGCCGGAGGGUUACCGGAACCCCCCAGGGAGAAGUAAUGGGCCAUAUGGGCCUUAGUGGAGAGAGAGAGGGGCUGCCAGAGGUGGGCUGCGUGCCUCCUCCCCCCUGGUCCGAAUUGGACUAGGAGAGGGGGGCGGCGCCCCCCCUUUCCCUCUCCCUCCCCACUUCUUUCCCCCUCCUAGUGGGAGUGGGACUCCUACUAGGAGGAGGACUCCUCCUGGCGCGCCUAUAGGGGCCGGCCGGCCUCCUCCCCUUGCUCCUUUAUAUACGGGGGCAGGGGGGCACCCCUAGACACACAAGUUGAUCUUCGUGAUCGUUCCUUAGCCGUGUGCGGUGCCUCCCUCCACCAUAUUCCACCUCGGUCAUAUUGUAGCGGUGCUUAGGCGAAGCCCUGCGACGGUAUAACAUCAAGAUUGUCACCACGCCGUCGUGCUGACGGAACUCCUCCCCGACGCUUUGCUGGAUCGGAGCCCGGGGAUCGUCAUCGAGCUGAACGUGUGCUAGAACUCAGAGGUGCCAUAGUUUCGGUGCUUGAUCGGUCGGGCCAUGGAGACGUAUGACUACAUCAACCAAACGCUUCCGUUGUCGAUCUACAAGGGUACGUAGAUCACACUCUCCCUCUCUCGUUGCUAUGCAUCACCAUGAUCUUGCGUGUGCGUAGGAAAUUUUUUGAAAUUACUACGUUCCCCAACAGUGGCAUCCGAGCCUAGGUUUUAUUUGUUGAUGUUAUAUGCACGAGUAGAACACAAGUGAGUUGUGGGCGAUAUAAGUCAUACUGCUUACCAGCAUGUCAUACUUUGGUUCGGCGGUAUUGUUGGACGAAACGGCCCGGACCGACAUUACGCGUACGCUUACGCGAGACCGAUUCUCCCGACGUGCUUUGCACAUAGGUGGCUUGCGGGUGACAGUUUCUCCAACUUUAGUUGAACCAUGUGUGGCUACGCCCGGUCCUUGCGAAGGUUAAAACAGCACCAACUUGACAAACUAUCGUUGUGAUUUUGAUGCGUAGGUAAGAUUGGUUCUUGCUUAAGCCCGUAGCAGCCACGUAAAACUUGCAACAACAAAGUAGAGGACGUCUAACUUGUUUUUGCAGGGCAUAUUGUGAUGUGAUAUGGUCAAGACAUGAUGCUAAAUUUUAUUGUAUGAGAUGAUCAUGUUUUGUAACCGAGUUAUCGGCAACUGACAGGAGCCAUAUGGUGUUCUUUAAGUUAAAUUAAUUGAACCUAAAUUUAUCAUGAAACUUAGUACCUGAUAGUAUCUUGCUUGUUUAUGCUUGAUUGUAGAUAGAUGGCUCGUGCUGUUGUUCUGUUGAAUUUUAAUGCGUUCCUUGAGAAAGCAAAGUUGAAAGAUGAUUGUAGCAAUUACACGAACUGGGUCCGUAACUUGAGGAUUAUCCUCAUUGAUGCACAGAAGAAUUAUGUCCUGGAAGCACCGCUGGGUGCCAGGCCUGCUGCUGGAGCAACACCAGAUGUUAUGAACGUCUGGCAGAGCGAAGCUGAUGACUACUCGAUAGUUCAGUAUGCCAUGCUUUACGGCUUAGAAUUGGGACUUCAACGACGUUUUGAACGUCAUGGAGCAUAUGAGAUGUUCCAGGAGUUGAAGUUAAUAUUUCAAGCAAAUGCCCGGAUUGAGAGAUAUGAAGUCUCCAAUAAGUUCUAUAGCUGCAAGAUGGAGGAGAACAGUUCUGUCAGUGAGCAUAUACUCAAAAUGUCUGGGUAUAAUAAUCACUUGAUUCAAUUGGGAGUUAAUCUUCCAGAUGAUUGCAUCAUCGACAGAAUUCUCCAAUCACUGCCACCAAGCUACAAGAGCUUCGUGAUGAACUAUAAUAUGCAAGGGAUGAAUAAGACUAUUCCCGAGCUCUUCGCAAUGCUGAAAGCUGCGGAGGUAGAAAUCAAAAAGGAGCAUCAAGUGUUGAUGGUCAACAAGACCACUAGUUUCAAGAAAAAGGGCAAAGGGAAGAAGAAAGGGAACUUCAAAAAGAACGGCAAGCAAGUUGCUACUCAAGAGAAGAAACCCAAACCUGGACCUAAGCCUGAAACUGAGUGCUUCUACUGCAAGCGGACUGGUCACUGGAAGCGGAACUGCCCCAAGUAUUUGGCGAAUAAGAAGGAUGGCAAGGUGAACAAAGGUAUAUGUGAUAUACAUGUUAUUGAUGUGUACCUUACUAAUGCUCGCAGUAGCACCUGGGUAUUUGAUACUGGUUCUGUUGCUAAUAUUUGCAACUCGAAACAGGGACUACGGAUUAAGAGAAGAUUAGCUAAGGACGAGGUGAUGAUGCGCGUGGAAAACGGUUCCAAAGUCGAUGUGAUCGUAGUCGGCACGCUACCUCUACAUCUACCUUCGGGAUUAAUAUUAGACCUAAAUAAUUGUUAUUUGGUGCCAGCGUUAAGCAUGAACAUUAUAUCUGGAUCUUGUUUGAUGCGAGACGGUUAUUCAUUUAAAUCAGAGAAUAAUGGUUGUUCUAUUUAUAUGAGUAAUAUCUUUUAUGGUCAUGCACCCUUGAAGAGUGGUCUAUUCUUAUUGAAUCUCGAUAGUAGUAACACACAUAUUCAUAAUGUUGAAGCCAAAAGAUGCAGAGUUGAUAAUGAUAGUGCAACUUAUUUGUGGCACUACCGUUUAGGUCAUAUCGGUGUAAAGCGCAUGAAGAAACUCCAUACUGAUGGACUUUUGGAACCACUUAAUUAUGAAUCACUUGGUAGUUGCGAACCGUGCCUCAUGGGCAAGAUGACUAAAACACCGUUCUCCGGUACUAUGGAGAGAGCAACAGAUUUGUUGGAAAUCAUACAUACAGAUGUAUGUGGUCCGAUGAAUAUUGAGGCUCGUGGCGGAUAUCGUUAUUUUCUCACCUUCACAGAUGACUUAAGCAGAUAUGGGUAUAUCUACUUAAUGAAACACAAGUCUGAAACGUUUGAAAAGUUCAAAGAAUUUCAGAGUGAAGUAGAAAAUCAUCGUAACAAGAAAAUAAAAUUCCUACGAUCUGAUCGUGGAGGAGAAUAUUUGAGUUACGAGUUUGGUGUACAUUUGAAAAAUUAUGGAAUAGUUUCGCAACUCACGCCACCCGGAACACCACAGCAUAAUGGUGUGUCCGAACGUCGUAAUCGUACUUUACUAGAUAUGGUGCGAUCUAUGAUGUCUCUUACUGAUUUACCGCUAUCAUUUUGGGGAUACGCUCUAGAGACGGCCGCAUUCACGUUAAAUAGGGCACCAUCAAAAUCCGUUGAGACGACGCCUUAUGAACUGUGGUUUGGCAAGAAACCAAAGUUACCGUUUCUGAAAGUUUGGGGCUGCGAUGCUUAUGUGAAAAAGCUUCAACCUGAUAAGCUCGAACCCAAAUCGGAGAAAUGUGUCUUCAUAGGAAAUCCAAAGGAAACUAUUGGAUACACCUUCUAUCACGGAUCCGAAGGCAAAACUUUUGUUGCUAAGUUCGGAGACUUUCUAGAGAAGGAGUUUCUCUCGAAAGAAGUGAGUGGGAGGAAAGUAGAACUUGACGAGGUAACUGUACCUGCUCCCUUAUUGGAAAGUAGUGCAUCACAGAAAACUAUUUCUGUGACACCUACAUCAGUUAGUGAGGAAGCUAAUGAUGAUGAUCAUGAAACUUCAGAACAAGAUACUACUGAACCUCGUAGAUCAACCAGAGUAAGAUCCGCGCCAGAGUGGUACGGUAAUCCUGUUCUGCAAGUCAUGCUACUAGAUCAUGAUGAACCUAUGAACUAUGAAGAAGCGAUGGUGAGCCCAGAUUCCGCAAAAUGGCUUGAAGCCAUGAAAUCUGAGAUGGGAUCCAUGUAUGAGAACAAAGUAUGGAUUUUGGUUGACUUGCCCAAUGAUCGGCAAGCAAUUGAGAAUAAAUGGAUCUUCAAGAAGAAGACUGAUGCUGACGGUAAUAUUACUGUCUACAAAGCUCGACUUGUCGCAAAAGGUUUUCGGCAAGUUCAAGGGAUUGACUACGACGAGACCUUCUCACCCUUAAGUUUGUCCGAAUCAUGUUAGCAAUUGCCGCAUUUUAUGAUUAUGAAAUUUGGCAGAUGGAUGUCAAAACUGCAUUCCUGAAUGGAUUUCUGGAAGAAGAGUUGUAUAUGAUGCAACCAGAAGGUUUUGUCGAUCCAAAGGGAGCUAACAAAGUGUGCAAGCUCCAACGAUCCAUUUAUGGACUGGUGCAAGCCUCUCGGAGUUGGAAUAAACGCUUUGAUGGUGUGAUCAAAGCAUUUGGUUUUAUACAGACUUUUGGAGAAGUCUGUAUUUACAAGAAAGUGAGUGGGAGCUCUGUAGCAUUUCUGAUAUUAUAUGUAGAUGACAUAUUACUAAUUGGAAAUGAUAUAGAAUUUCUGGAUAGCAUAAAGGGAUACUUGAAUAAGAGUUUUUCAAUGAAAGACCUCGGUGAAGUUGCUUGCAUAUUAGGCAUUAAGAUCUUUAGAGAUAGAUCAAGACGCUUAAUUGGACUUUCACAAAGCACAUACCUUGACAAAGUUUUGAAGAAGUUCAAAAUGGAUCAAGCAAAGAAAGGGUUCUUGUCUGUGUUACAAGGUGUGAAGUUGAGUAAGAUUCAAUGCCCGACCACUGCAGAAGAUAGAGAGAAAAUGAAAGAUGUUCCCUAUGCUUCAGCCAUAGGCUCUAUCAUGUAUGUAAUGCUGUGUACCAGACCUGAUGUGUGCCUUGCUAUAAGUCUAGCAGGGAGGUACCAAAAUAAUCCAGGAGUGGAUCACUGGACAGCGGUCAAGAACAUCCUGAAAUACCUGAAAAGGACUAAGGAUAUGUUUCUCAUAUAUGGAAGUGACAAAGAGCUCAUCGUAAAAGGUUACGUUGAUGCAAGCUUUGACACUGAUCCGGACGAUUCUAAAUCAUAAACUGGAUACGUGUUUACAUUAAACGGUGGAGCUGUCAGUUGGUGCAGUUCUAAACAAAGCGUUGUAGCGGGAUCUACAUGUGAAGCGGAGUACAUAGCUGCUUCGGAAGCAGCAAAUGAAGGAGUCUGGAUGAAGGAGUUCAUAUCCGAUUUAGGUGUCAUACCUAGUGCAUCGGGUCCAAUGUAAAUCUUUUGUGACAAUACUGGUGCAAUUGUCUUGGCAAAGGAAUCCAGAUUUCACAAGAGAACCAAACACAUCAAGAGACGCUUCAAUUCCAUCCGGGAUCUAGUCCAGGUGGGAGACAUAGAGAUUUGCAAGAUACAUACGGAUCUGAAUGUUGCAGAUCCGUUGACUAAGCCUCUUCCACGAGCAAAACAUGAUCAGCACCAAGGCUCCAUGGGUGUUAGAAUCAUUACUGUGUAAUCUAGAUUAUUGACUCUAGUGCAAGUGGGAGACUGAAGGAAAUAUGCCCUAGAGGCAAUAAUAAAGUUAUUAUUUAUUUCCUUAUAUCAUGAUAAAUGUUUAUUAUUCAUGCUAGAAUUGUAUUAACCGGAAACAUAAUACAUGUGUGAAUACAUAGACAAACAGAGUGUCACUAGUAUGCCUCUACUUGACUAGCUCGUUAAUCAAAGAUGGUUAUGUUUCCUAACCAUGAACAAGGAGUUGUUAUUUGACUAACGAGAUCAUAUCAUUAGGUGAAUGAUCUGAUUGACAUGACCCAUUACAUUAGCUUAGCACCCGAUCGUUUAGUAUGUUGCUAUUGCUUUCUUCAUGACUUAUACAUGUUCCUAUGACUAUGAGAUUAUGCAACUCCCGUUUGCCGGAGGAACACUUUGUGUGCUACCAAACGUCACAACGUAAAUGGGUGAUUAUAAAGGUGCUCUACAGGUGUCUCCAAAGGUACAUGUUGGGUUGGCGUAUUUCGAGAUUAGGAUUUGUCACUCCGAUUGUCGGAGAGGUAUCUCUGGGCCCUCUCGGUAAUGCACAUCACAUAAGCCUUGCAAGCAUUGCAACUAAUGAGUUAGUUGCGAGAUGAUGCAUUACGAAACGAGUAAAGAGACUUGCCGAUAACGAGAUUGAACUAGGUAUUGAGAUACCGGCGAUCAAAUCUCGGGCAAGUAACAUACCGAUGACAAAGGGAACAACGUAUGUUGUUAUGCGGUCUGACCGAUAAAGAUCUUCGUAGAAUAUGUAGGAGCCAAUAUGAGCAUCCAGGUUCCGCUAUUGGUUAUUGACCGGAGACGUGUCUCGGUCAUGUCUACAUUGUUCUCGAACCCGUAGGGUCCGCACGCUUAAGGUUUCGAUGACAGUUAUAUUAUGAGUUUAUGAGUUUUGAUGUACCGAAGUUAGUUCGGAGUCCCGGAUGUGAUCACGGACAUGACGACGAGUCUCGAAAUGGUCGAGACAUAAAGAUUGAUAUAUUGGACGGCUAUAUUCGGACACCGGAAGUGUUCCGGGUGAUUUCGGAGAAAACCGGAGAGCCGGAGGGUUACCGGAACCCCCCGGAAGAAGUAAUGGGCCAUAUGGGCCUUAGUGGAGAGAGAGAGGGGCUGCCAGAGGUGGGCUGCGCGCCUCCUCCCCCCUGGUCCGAAUUNNNNNNNNNNNNNNNNNNNNNNNNNNNNNNNNNNNNNNNNNNNNNNNNNNNNNNNNNNNNNNNNNNNNNNNNNNNNNNNNNNNNNNNNNNNNNNNNNNNNNNNNNNNNNNNNNNNNNNNNNNNNNNNNNNNNNNNNNNNNNNNNNNNNNNNNNNNNNNNNNNNNNNNNNNNNNNNNNNNNNNNNNNNNNNNNNNNNNNNNNNNNNNNNNNNNNNNNNNNNNNNNNNNNNNNNNNNNNNNNNNNNNNNNNNNNNNNNNNNNNNNNNNNNNNNNNNNNNNNNNNNNNNNNNNNNNNNNNNNNNNNNNNNNNNNNNNNNNNNNNNNNNNNNNNNNNNNNNNNNNNNNNNNNNNNNNNNNNNNNNNNNNNNNNNNNNNNNNNNNNNNNNNNNNNNNNNNNNNNNNNNNNNNNNNNNNNNNNNNNNNNNNNNNNNNNNNNNNNNNNNNNUUCCCCCUCCUAGUAGGAGUCCUACUACUAGGAGGAGGACUCCUCCUGGCGCGCCUAUAGGGGCCGGCCGGCCUCCUCCCCUUGCUCCUUUAUAUACGGGGGCAGGGGGGCACCCCUAGACACACAAGUUGAUCUUCGUGAUCGUUCCUUAGCCGUGUGCGGUGCCCCCCUCCACCAUACUCCACCUCGGUCAUAUUGUAGCGGUGCUUAGGCGAAGCCCUGCGACGGUAGAACAUCAAGAUCGUCACCACGCCGUCGUGCUGACGGAACUCCUCCCCGACGCUUUGCUGGAUCGGAGUCCGGGGAUCGUCAUCGAGCUGAACGUGUGCUAGAACUCGGAGGUGCCGUAGUUUCGGUGCUUGAUCGGUCGGGCCGUGGAGACGUACGACUACAUCAACCAAACGCUUCCGUUGUCGAUCUACAAGGGUACGUAGAUCACACUCUCCCCCUCUCAUUGCUAUGCAUCACCAUGAUCUUGCGUGUGCGUAGGAAUUUUUUUUGAAAUUACUACGUUCCCCAACAGUUGCCCCGAACGGGCGACUCCGACUUCAUCAUAGAGCUCCAUCAUCGAAGCCAACCCGCAAAAAGCCGCAGAAACCAUGACGGCAAAUGCCAACAGAUGGCCACACGCCCAAGCGACCGACAGCUCCGACUUGAUGACGAGCAUCGCAAGGGAAAUAUGCAGGACUUGCGCCGACCAUGACCUCCGCAAACGAUCACGGAGUGUCUGUCAUCGUCACCACCUGGAUCCACUCCACCAUAGCUUCGACUUCAAAGUAACCAAGCAACCUACGGAAGAGCACCUCGGACACGCCAGAAAGGACCGACUACCGAAGUCCAUGCAGCGACCCGAGCUCCUCUCGACGUCAUCAUCGUUGCCAAAACAGAAACAAGCGCCCCGCCUCAGCAAACCACACGGCAAAGAUGACACCAUUCACCGGUCUCCUGGUCAUAGCCGGCUCCGAGACGAUGCCCCCAAGGAGGAGAAAGACGCGAGGACGCCUCCAUCGCCCGAUCCAGUGGAUCUGAGGUUUCCAUCCGGAGCCAAAGCCAUGGGGAGGAGGAGGAGCACACCUCUUAUCUAGCCACCCAUUUUCUACACCGCGAUCCAUGUGGGCGUUGUCGAGAUGGAGAAAUUUUAGGGAUGCCACAGUAGCACCAAAAUGCCUCGGUCAGCUGUCGUUGGCCUCUAUGGCGGAUGAUGAGGUGUCGGCUCUGGAUUCUGAUGAUGAGAUGGACCAAGAUGGAUACGAGAAUGAAGAGAAGAGGGCGCCGCUGGACCAAAGUGGUUAUGGGGGUGAUUCUUGUGCUGAUGAAAAUGAUGUUGCACCAUUUUCUACAGAGGAAAAUGAUGCUGCCAUGAGUCUUUGUGCUCUUGAUCAGAUGCUUCGAAAUCAAAAUGGCGGGAUGUUGUGUGCUGAGCAGGAGCAGUUGUGCAACGAGGAGGAAGAGCAGAAGGAGGCUUCAGCGACAUGUGAGUCGCAAACCAAGCUUGAACAAAAGAGGGGUCUUCGCGAGCAGCAACGGAUCAAUAUUUGUUACCGUAGGAAACGCAAAGUAGCCCUCCCCGGGCAAGCAAAUUUGUAAGCGCAAGUCCCUCCCAGUCCCAGGAGGUCUGGUCUUUGCGCGCAUGUGACGAAAUCGAAAUCGCCAUGUAAUAAGGAAGACUAAGCACGAAGCAAUUGCAUGAAUCAAAUUUCAGUGGUUUGUUCUGCCUCGCAAUCAAUUUGAAUAUGCCCUUUUUGGUGAGGGAUUAUGUAUGUGGGUUAGAUAGCAGUGGCUUUGUGGGCAGUGGGAGAAGCAUUCGAUUUCAGAAUUCUAGCUUACAGAUUCAAACUCUUGGGUGCCUAUUUUGCCAUCGUCUCUCUUUUUUUUUCCCGCCAUGUCAUUUGCGAUCUUCAAUUUUGGAAGCAAAUUGUUGCGCGUGCUCUUGAUGAUAGUUAUUUGCCAAAGUUGCAAUCUUUUGUAUUUCAAAGUUGCAACCCUUAUAUGUUAAAGUUGCAAACUUUUGUAUCUCAAAGUUGCAAAACUGAAACGGACUCUGUCUCUGGCUGUGCAAUAAAAAGAGCGUUUGUUGUAGCUACCCCUCAAGAAAAAACCAUAAAAAACAAGUGUUGUACUAGUAGCUAAUAAUACGAUUAGUUGAGGAGCUUCUUCAGUUUUUCUUCAACCGAAAGGCAUUUACAAUGAGGCCCAAGGAUACAUCAAUACAGUCUUGGCAGUCAGCACAGCUCUAAAAGCAUAUGCAAGCUAAAACUGCAUUCCUAGACCAGCAAGCUAAUAUGAAGAACUCCACCGUCCCUCCGCUCACGGUGCUGGAUGGAGCUGCUCGUCUUCACCGCUGCCCGGACGACGCGUGCUGGCAGACCUUUCCCGCAAUGGCGUCGGGAGAAGCGAGCCUUGCUUCGGCAGCUGAAUUCCACUAUUCGGUCGUAUCAGAUCACCCGGGGCUCGCCCCAAUAUUCCCGGCCCAGGAUGGGGGGCUCUCGGGGGCAACCGAACGGAUAUCCCAUAGCCGAAUCCUGAAGGGACGAUCCUAAAGGGCCACCAUGGCUUAUGCACAUACUGCGCGCCACCAGACUGGAUGCCCGGGAAUCGACAAUGUCGAACGGGAGGCAGAACCGUGGCAACACGAGCAGUGCCGGGCGUAGCAUUAACUUGGUGUGCCGGUUCCUCGUGGCGUGCAGCACGCUUUGUCCUCUCUUGUUGGAUCCCGCGUCUGCCCUCCGGGCUAAGGUCCCUCUUGCCGCGUCUCGGACGAGGCCUGCUGACCAGAUCGUCGGGGUUCAGGCGCCCAAACAGGCGGGUCUUGAGCUUCGAUGCGUCGAUGUGGCCCUUCAUGAAAUCUGUCAGGUUCGAAGCGCAAACUACAAGGCAUGUGCAGAUCUUCUGCAUCUGCGCCUUCCCUACAGCCCUCGCAAAGUUCUGCGACCGGUCCAAGAAGUCUUCAACCUAUAUGAUGAGAAGGACCAGAGAAAUAAUAAUAAUAAUGGGCACAAUGAGUCUGGCUGGCAUUCUGUUACCUAUUAUUAGUAGUACUAGUCAAUGUGCAGAACACCUACACUUAGAUUACCAACUCCUUUCUUCCAGGUCUUGGAGAUCCACGAUGCUUCGAAAUUGCUAGCGCAGAGCCCGUGCUCCCAUAAACUCUCCACUGAUAGUAGCUGCAGGGCACAAGGUCAAGGUCAGCUAUUCUUUAAGUAUGAUGAACAUAACUUACACAGCAAAAAUGAAUAGAAUAGAAAAUGAACAUAAAAAUUACUCACCUUACUCAUUAGUGUUACAAAAAGUUCAGCUACCGAUUCUUUAUUUGCGCUCCCAAACCCCUUAAAGAGCGAGAUGUUCUUCUCAACACUUGCGAAAUCUGAACCAUCUGCAAGGGGCCAAAACAAGAUAGUUAUCUCAUCAUCCUUUCUGGGUAAAAAAGAUACAGCAGCAGAAGAAAAGGUAAGAACACAAACCUUUUAACAAGGCAGAGAACGCGGGCAAUAUUGGAGGAUGGCGGGUCUGCGCUGCCCAUUGUAAAAGCAGUAAGAAUAUUCAACUUCUAAUCAGAUAAACAAAUCAAAGUAGUAUUAAAUGCCAAGACUGCUGAGCUAAGAUGUUAGGUACUCCCUCCGUAAAGAAAUAUAAGAGCGUUUAGAUCACUAAAAUAGUGAUCUAAACACUCUUAUAUUUGUUUACAGAGGGAGUACUAGAUAUGCAGUGACUUGUCACUAGUCACUAGUCAAAACAAACGAGAGACUGGGGGUAUAAUUACUUGUGAUGUAAUAAUAGAGCCUAAAUAAAAUGAAUACAUUCUUGGUACCUGCAGAUGGAAAGCAACCAAGGAAAUGAUUGACAUCGAGCUCAUUGUCUGCGCUGUCGGGCUAUUCACAUCAUGUAUCUUAGCCCAGGUCUUGACCUGCAGCAUAAACAGAAAAACCAAGAGUUACUGUUGUCACAUAGCUUCAGAAUAACCCGCAGCCAUUGGUAUGUUACGGCUAGGAAAAUGAUCAAAUGAAGAUACAUUACCAAGUAACUUAGUAUCUGAAACCUUUCAUCAAGUGAAGAAAUCAAUUUGACGAUCAUCGAUCUUGUCAUGCCAUCUUUGUUUUCAACCGUAAUAUCACACUCGAUGCCAGUUCCCCGAUCAAUAACAUUCACAAUAGGCACCUUAGCACUUACAACAGGUAAAACCCCACAGUAAAUUCCGUCCCCUGAAAUUGAGAAUAUAAGGUUGUUUCCUUCAUCUGUACUCGACAAAACUCUGAACAAACUAUGGUAACAUGGUAGGACCAAAAACAAGCAAUGUUGUCAAGCCCCAAACUGUAAUUACUGUUGCGAUAUAAGCGUUCUACAGAGUUUUCAGUAUCAAGUUUGUUUCUCAAUAAGAGCGGGUGAUACUUAUGUUGAUGAAGAUAAAACCACAUAAGAAUGCAGAGUGAAGAGCUUGAAAGUUUAUAACCGAUGAAUGGACGCACAGGAGACUAAUGUGAAAAUGUUCAGCUCAAGGAAGUAGUUACUUUGAAGGGAGUAUAGAACUUUGGCGAAUUUCCUGACAACUUUCAUCUUUUUCUUGCGAGGGCACUGAUCCUCGAUGUCUGCACUGAAGUUGACAGAGAGAUCCAGGUCACUUUUAGGAGUAAAUAAAUCCAUUGUGAAUGACCCAAAUGCUUGCACGACUGGAAACCCGUUGUCGUUACCUGCAACAGUUUGUUAAGAGGGGAGGUCAAAUUGAGACAAAUGCUCACACAAUAAUCAGAACAUCACUUGUUAAAAAGUAUACAGUGAAAUAUAUUCCGCAAUAUCCGUGUUGGCAUGUGAUGUUCUCGUCCUAGAAUAUAUAAAAUGCAAGCCUGGGACAUUGCCUAUUGUAGACAGCAUCAUACAAGCUGUGCUGAUACACCUUUCUAACAGUGACUUGGUGAUAUAGCAAUGAGUAAAGAGAGUAUUUGAAAAAAUCUCGGAUCCAAGUUCCUCAUGGUAUAUAUUUUCCUUUUUCAGCGAGCCAAGUUCAUCAUGCUAUUCAGUGACUACAUUAUCAGUAAGAAAGGUAAGCUAUAUCAUCUCUUACCAAAGAUUCUGGUUGCCAUCUUGUUGAAGACAUCAACCAAGGCGUUCCGCUGCUGGUAGUCAACGGGCUUGGGGCGCAGCACGGCAUACACCUCGAGGAGCAGAUCGUUGAGAGCUGGAAGACGGCCAGGAUCGACCGACAUCGCGGCCAGCAGCUGCUCCUCGUUACGCUCCGCCUGGGCGCGUAAAUCUGCGCAGGGACAGACAGAAACGUUGGCAACGACGACGACGCGGGAGCAAAACCACGACGCGACAGAUACAGGGAGAGNNNNNNNNNNNNNNNNNNNNNNNNNNNNNNNNNNNNNNNNNNNNNNNNNNNNNNNNNNNNNNNNNNNNNNNNNNNNNNNNNNNNNNNNNNNNNNNNNNNNNNNNNNNNNNNNNNNNNNNNNNNNNNNNNNNNNNNNNNNNNNNNNNNNNNNNNNNNNNNNNNNNNNNNNNNNNNNNNNNNNNNNNNNNNNNNNNNNNNNNNNNNNNNNNNNUGCAGAGAAAUCUUAUCUAAAAGAUGAAUGAUACUCCAUGAUUUCUCUAAAAAAAUGAUACUCCAUGAAGUUAAACUGAAUUUCCUCUAAAGAAUGAAUGAUACUCCAUGAAGUGAAACUGAAUUUUAGGCCCAUACAUGAAGUGAAACUGAAUGGUGCAGAAGAUAGUGGCAGGGAGGGAGGGAAAAAGUAGGUACCUUGUGAAUCCCACACCAUCGGAGAUGCCUCCUCCUCGCUGUCGCCGGACCUGCAGCCGCAGACGCAUCAGAGAUCUAUCUUUUCUAAUCUGUAAUCUAAUCAAUCUAGGGGCGUAGAAGGGGGAGGAAUCGUCCUCGUCCGAGGACCCGCCGGAGGAAGGAGGGUGCAGGAAUACGAACCCAUCGGAGCCGGAGUCGGAGUAGGAGGUCGCGUCGGAGAAUGGCGGCGGAGCGGCGGCAGGAGUCGCCAUGGCUCGCCACUCCUGCCUGGAAGUGAAAGCUGGGGCCUUGCUUUUUCUUUUCUUUUUUUACCGCCCGUCGGUCACCGAGGGGUGGGGCCCGCUUGGCAGAGGUCGAAGAGGAGUUAUUAUAGCCGUGAGGAGCCCAACAAACUCUUCAAAUUUGACUUCUCAAAUUCUUGUACUACUGCUGCCAAACUUGAAACUGUAGUUGCUAUUUUCGAACUGCUGCUAUAUCUCGAAAUGAUUGUACUACUUCCCAAUGGCCAUAUUUUGCAACGGCCAUAUUUUGUCUCGUCUAUAUAUAUGCGUGAAAAGACUAAUUUUGUAUACGGCGUCCUAUAGACUCUGGCCAGGAAAAAGCAGGGGUCAUUCAUCUUUGCCUAUGUAAGAGAGUCGGGGGUGAGUUUCGGGCGGCCACGAAGAGAGGGGUGGUUUUUCCAAAGAUUCUCUUGAGGUCUAGAUAAAAGCCGAGCGGCGGAGGAGAUCUGGCGAGUUCGUCUUUUUUGCAAACCGGUAUCGGAUAGCGGUUGCAAUGGGAUUGGGUUUAAAAUUUAAAGAGUGGGAGAGGACGCCUACCGCUUGAACUUGCUCUUGUACUACUACACAACUGCAAAUCAUUUUAAAUCGUCUCAAAACAGCCUCCUCUUAAUUUAGAAUCCAACUGCAUCUUUGGCUCACACGAUUUGAAAAACACAGAAAUAGAAAUGGAGCAUUCAGACGCCACGACAUUUUGAAUCAUACAGAGAACUCAAAUCGUGGAAAUGUGUACAUUACACCAAGACUUUCCUUGAAUAAUAGGCGCAUAUUACAGUUGCCACAAACACACAAAGGAAAAUUUCAAUUAAGGACCAUAUAUAACGCCAUCCGGAAGAUUAGGUGCAUAUUGUGGUUGUCAGUUGUGACAGAAAAAGGAAAAUGUUAUGUUGGUCCUCAGCAGAAAUUUCCCUUCUAAAUCACUUGCAAAGUAGAAAAAAAAUCCAAAUGGUUUCCAAUUUUAUAAACAAACAAGUAAAUAGAUCCUCCUGUGUAAAUAGAUCCAAAUGGUUUCCAAUUUAAUAAACAAACAGGUAAACGGAUCCUCGGGCCCUCUUAUGCAAAUUGGUUGUAUGAAAAAUGUCAGACAACCAAGAAUUAUUCAUCCUGACAACGCACUUUUAUAGGAAGAUGCUCUUCUCCAUCCAAAUACGAAUUUCAUUUCAUUUCAGCACGAUUAUUAGGACGAUGUUAUGUGAGACAUCAUUGUUUUAGAGAGGGCUGAGCAAUCUCACCAGGUCAACUUUGUUUGUAAGAAGAAGAAAAAAACCCAUGAAUAAAUCAGUGAAGACCACCCAAGAAACACAUAUACUUACACUACAUCAGAGGAGGGGGGAAACCAACACAUUGGUGAGGCCAAGGAUUAUACACACACCCACACACCAAUCAACCAAUGUGUCCAAAAAAAUUCGAACAAUCAUCAUCAUCAUCAUAUCAUAGUCCAGGUUAUAUUAUCCUUUGCUGCAAGAGAAAGCUUCCAUCGCCUUCUUCCUCUCCUCCUUGUAUAUUCUACGUACCAUCUAGUUACAUGAUGAAGUAAGCUCGGAUCACCUCAAUAAUGGGUGCGCGGCACAGCGGACACUUCCCUCCACUUCGAACCAACUCGUUCGCGCAUUUCGAGCACGUGCACAUGUGCCCACAUCUGCGCCACCCACGAAAAAUCAUGCUCAGAACACUACUGGAUAAUAAUAGGCAAUCAUAUGUUUCAACAGCUUGCACCCUAAUAAUAAUGGAUAAAAAACCAACCUGUACAGAAGAGAAUCGAUCGGAGUAUCACAGCAUACACAGCAAGUGCCUUUCCUCACAUUCAUCCAUUUCGAUCCAUCGUCGAUGGUCUCCUUGGGUUCCCCUGAGACACCAUGUACAUCGGCAUUCAGGGUACAAUCGUAUAAGCACAAGAAAAAAGAUAAAAGGCAAAGCUCUACACCAAGACUAAAUUUAGCAAUUAAAGGUGCUGUUAAUGGAUAACUACCAGCAUUUUUUGAAAGGUGAGACCGAGCAUGCCAAGCUAUGUCUUCCUUUCUAAAUUAGCCCAGGAUCCACCAUAAGAGUUUAUGUCGAAAACAGGAGUUACUAACCUUGCUCCCCGAUGAAGCGAUUCAAGGCCGCGGAAACUUCCUGCCUCACAGAACGUUGUAACUCAAGCUGCAUAUCCAUGCAAGCUUCCAACAUCCUUUGCAUAUGACCCAUACCUUGCUGAAGUCUAGCCAUAUCAGCCCUCAAAUCAUUAAUAGCCUCCCAUUCCUGCAGAAGCAAACCAGAAGAAACAUUAUAUGCCUUUAGCUUUUGAUAUAUAGCCUGCAAAACUUCCCUAAAAAAACUUAAAAUGUCCUCCCAUCAAUCUUACAAAGAAGGGAAGUUAUUGCAAAUCCGAUUAUCUAUAACAAAAUAGUCCAAAUUAAAGCAAACAAGACCAAGCGGUGCUCGACUGGCUAGAGCGCAUGCCUGUAAGCUCGCCCACCCGCGUCCAAGGCGCAGCCUCUGCAGGUACCUCAUUUCUACCUAAACAAAAUGUACAGUCAAGGGAGGGAACUUCCCCCUUUUAACCACGUUUUUGAAAUGCCAACAAAUAAAAUAGUCCAAAUUAAUGCAAACGAGAACCGAGCAGGGCUCGGCUGGCAAGAGCACACGCCUGUGAGGCACAGCCUCCGCAGGUGCCUCACUUCUACCUAAACGACAUACCGUUAAGGGAGGGAACUGUUAGAUAUAUUAUGUCUCCUCUUCUAACAGAUCGGUCUUUUGGGAUAGUUGGUUGAUAGGAAUAUCUAACAUGCUAUUGGACAUGAAGGGUCUUGGGUUAGGAAUAUCUAACAGAAACUUCCCCCUUUUACCACAUUUUUUAAUGCAGCAAAACAAAUUAAAAAGUGAAUAAAAGUGUGUGCAGUAAUAAGAAUGUCAAAGAGAAUAGCUCACGAUAUCGGAGCGGUUGAUGUUCUGUCUCAUCCAGUUGUUAUGAUGCAGCUCCGAAUGCCAAAGUGGUUGACGAGGAGGCAUAGGUGGAGGUGGGAUCACUAAGCGAGGCCUAACAUUUGCAGCAUCACGAAGAAGUUGCUGUUCCUCGUCGUCAUCUCCAUGCCGCUGCUCUUCUUGAUCUUGCUCCUGCUGGUCAGGGGUUGCUGCUGCUACCGCAGGUGUUCCUUGCAGAUUCAAAGAGAGAGGACCACGACCUUGCCGUUCAACGUAUGACCGGAUAAGGCGGUCUAGGUUUUCACGGAAAGCGCUAUCAAGAAGAUUAGAAACGCUCCUUCUGCAGAAUUAUUGAACAAUGUAUAUAUCAGCGUUAAUAAUAAGUCACGUUUGGUGCUGAGCUUCUCUUAGUCUUAGUGCAAGAAAGAAAGAAAGAAAAACCUGCUUAGAAGCUCCCUUAGUUCUGUGCUGUAGACAUUAUCGUCAUCGCCAGGGGUAAAUGUAUUAACUCUUCUGAUGAGCGUAGACUCCUGGUCAACGGGUUGCUCUGAAUGAUCGUCAUGCCAGUUAUGCGCACUCCCAUUGGACUCAUCGUCGUCGUGCCACACUUCAUUCAUUUCUGGAAAAUGAUCGUCACUGGGCCACUCAUCACGCACUUGUGCGGGAUCAUUACCCUCCCUGUUCCACUCUCCACGCGCUUCUUGGAGAUGAUUGUUGCCUUCAAGCGCUUCGGGGAGAUGGUUACUGUCAAGCUGCUCUUCAUGUGCUUCAGGAAGAUUAUUAUCACUAAUUGUUGACUCAUCACUUGUUUCCAGAAGAUACGAGGCACCUUGACGAUCUCCAGCCUCUGUUGUCCUCUCAUCAGACGAUGAUGAACUGCUGUCCGCACUUUCAAUCCAGUUUCUGCCAGAUCCCUCUCCAGUCGUAGUAAUAGCAUGGGAAAACUGAUCCCAGUCUCUUCUUCUAUCCACCACCUCCAAAUCUUCCUGCCAACCCUCCUCCUGACUAUGAGGCUCGGACAAUCCUUCAGCAAUACUAGGAGCAUUGCUUCCAUAAUCUGACCCUGUUGCUGUCUCUCCAAUUCGCUGAAGAUCAACAUUAUCGUUUGCCUGUCGAUGCAUGUCCUGAGUAUCUUCAGAAGCAGCACGGCUUGAUUCAGAAUGGUCAAUGGUUGAGAGCUCGACAGUCUGAGCUGAAGAUGAAUCCGACCGGCUAGCUGCUUGACCUCGUACAAGAUUCUCCAAUCUGAAACGGAAAUCCUCCUCUAGUUAUUAUUUAGUUCACAGUAAAACGUUCAUGCAAGUACAUUAUAAGUGCAACAGCUAAAUUGGUCCCGAACUCGCAUAUGAGAUUACAGCAUUUCACUUCAGAUAAAGAAUAAAUCACACAUUUCAACAUGAACCAGGACAAAAAUACAUUUUGUGAGUUUAGUGAGUAAAUGCUUGCUUAAGCUUAACAUCAUCGAUUGAUCCGUUAUUGGAAUCUUAUGAUUAAAUCCGUGGGCAUCGUAUAACCAUCAUUGCUCCAAACAUCAUGCAUACGUUUGAUUAGGACAAAUAUCAGCAAAAUGGGGCGCAAACAAAAUGAUCAAACUGUAGCGAUAUCAGCAUCAGUACAACUAACCACUAAGAAUCAUGCAUGCAUGGGCACUCCAUACAUAUAAGAUGGACCUCCUCCAACCAAAGCAACAGAAGCAGAAUGUCCCGACAAUGACCCAUCAAUUAGUAGUCCCAAAAUCAAUAAUUUCGCUUGCAUAAAUCCUUUCCAGGAAAAUAAAUGGAAUGCUAUUGCUAUUAUCCACUAAGCAUGGGCAGCAGCAGCAGCAGCAAGGAUAAAGAUGCGAGCUUGCUGACCUGAGGCCGGAGACGGGGUGGCGCUGCCGGAGCUGCCCGAGCUCCCUGGCGGCCACCGACGGCUGCCUCCUCUCCUCCUCCGGCAGGCCGCCGUUCCGCAGAAACCUUCCCCGGAGCAGCGCCUGUGGUUAGAAAAAUCUCUAGUAAGAAAUGAGCAAUCGUGCUACAGCUAAUGGAACAGUGGCCGGCGGCUUGUAGGUGGAGGACGACGCACGCACGUGGAUUCGGUUGCGGUGGGGGAAGGCGGAGACGGCGCGGCGGAGGGAGAGGCGCUGGAGCUCGGCGUGGCGGUCGGCGGCGAGGCGCAUGACGAGCUCGAGCCUGGCCUGGCGGCCGCGGAUCCGGGGGCCGGCGGCGGGCGACGGGGGCGGGUGCGGCGGGUCGCCGCCGUCGGCGCCGCCCUGGUCGCGGUCGCGGUCGCGCGCGGCCUCCAUCUGGACCUGGACCCAGUCCCGGACGAGGCGCACGCGGUCGCGCUCGAUCUCGCCGAGCCACCAGCCGGCGUCGGCGGCGGUGCCCGAGAUCCGCGCGGCCCGGUCGUCGCUCCAGCGGCGCGCGGCGCGGCGCACGGCGUCUCCGUCGGCGCUGUCGGCGCCCGGGGAGCCCUCCCUGCUGCUGGAUCCCUCCUCCCAGUCGCUCUCGCUCCGGGGCUCCGACGGCUCUCUGCGGGGGCGUCGGCGCGGCGCGGUCACGGGCGCGGGCGGCGGGGCGUCGGCCAUCGGCGGCCGCGGCGAGGCAUUGGGGUUUGGUCGGAGGGGACGGAGGCAACCAACGGAGGUGGAGUCGAAGCAAGUCAAGGUGGAGACGAAUUUGGUUGGCCGGAGAGAUUAGCUAAAGACACGAUUUUUCUUCCCUCUCCUUUUCAUUUCCUUUCCUUCCCUUUCGUAUAUGCAAUAAUGAUUCAUUCAAAAGAAAUGGCAAUGAUUCAUAGAGAUGAGUGUAUGCGCGUGUAUACGAGCGCUUGUGUCUGUACUGAUGCUCAAAAAAAAUGGCAAUGUGGUGGGAAACCUAAAAUAUUGCAAAAUCCAUUAUUGGUUUCCAUUUAUGUCCGCAAAAACAAAAUCCAUUACUGUUUUCUCUCGUUAUCCGCAUUGACAUAUUCUGAGACAAGAUUGCGAGGAAGGGACCGAUUACACGAUUAGCUACCUGGUAGGUCCCGCGGCUACAAAAUGCCUCCCACUCUAACAGAAACUACAUUUAUUAAAAAAAAAAUAGCAAAAACUACAAAAAUUUCUACCCAUGGCCGGGUCCCGGCACACCAGAAGAUGAAAAAAUGAUGUGUUUGUAGACCUCAUGGCCUCAUCCCACCGUCUCAAAGCAUUCUCAAACAACAAUAACAACAACAACAACAACAACAGAGUUCAAAGCAUCCAUGUGCAAUCAAAUGAUGAUCAUCUGAUGUAUAACAACAUAUAAGUUUUCUCCGUUGUUGUUUGUUGUUGCUGUUGUUAUUGUUGUUGUUGUUGUUGUUGUUGUUGUUGUUGUUGUUUCAAAUUGCAUUUACGUCAUCGGUGAGCAAGAACUAUUCUGACCAAAAAGGAAAAGUAUAGUGAAAGGACCAUAUACAACAGUUGCUCAUUCAACUACUUUUAUACAUAGAUGGUGGUGAUGUGGGCCACCGGUCAUUAGUUUGAGAAUGGCAAGAAAAAAGACAAUAGUUUUAACACACAGUCUUCCUUUUCCUUCUUUUUUUCUUUGUAUAUGGAAUUAUUAUUCAAAAGAUAGAAUUAUGGAGGGAAACUUAAAUGUUGCAAAGUGAAUUACUCUCUUCGAUCCAUAUUACUUGUCGGAGGUUUAAUACAACUUUGUGGAUUGGAGGGAGUAUUGUUUUCCUUUUAUAUCUUCUGAAAAUGCAUUAUCAUUUCCUCCGGUUGUUCACAUUGGCAUCUUCAUAGCCAAGAUUGCAAGGGAGAAACCAAUUACUCUCUUUUUUUUUUGAAUAGAAACCAACACGCGAUUAGUUCAUACUUAGCCAAGCAGUUGCUGGAAAUUAAACCCAUUAAGCGUCAGAAGAAGAGCGGCCAACCAGCUAUGCCACGUGGCGCAAGCUGGUUGGCCGCGGUGAGAAAGCUUUUGGAAUAUUUUUAUGGAGGUGAGGAUUUUUUUUGAAAUAUUUUUGUAGAUGGAGGUGAGGACCCCAUGUAUUUUUUUAAAUGGAGGGCUAUGCAAAGCGGCGCUCGCUGAUAAGGCUAUGAUGAUAUUUUUUUUUGUUUAUUUUUUAGAUGGAGGUGAGGAUUUUUUGGAUGUUUUUUUAAAUGGAGGUGAAGACUCUAUGUAUAUUUUUAAAUAAAAAUGUGCGUGCAGCUUCCUCUCACAGGGUGACGCCCCAACCAUUAGUAUAUGAUUCAACAUGAGUUUAUUACUCCCUACAAAAUGGCUCCUUAGAAUAAAACUAUUGAAAAAAAUGUACUCGCGUUGGGUCCCACUAUCCUGGAUGAAAAAAAAAUGACGUGUUUCAUAGAUCUCACAACCGGAUCCCAGCUGAGUUCAAAGCACCACGUGCAAAAGAACGUCUGGUCAUUCGAUGUAUAACGGUAUAAAAGAUUUCUCCUACACUACUAAUAUUAUACCAAUUCUAAACCACUUCCGUUGCAAAUUGCAUCUAUGUCGUUCUCGCAUGAAAAGGGAAAAGUGUAUAUAGUGAAAGGACUAUAUGCAGCAGUUGCAAUACUAUUUCUCCUCGUGUACACCAAGGAUUUGGCAUACUUUAAUAACAACUUUGCUUAAUCAACUAUUUUCAGCCAGAGAUGGUGGUGGUGUAGGCAAGCAGUCGCUAGUUUGAGGCUGACCUCUAACGAAAAAGCGACUAGUUUUAUCAUAUGAUUGGUUGGAGAGGUUGGAUGCAAGCAGGGUUUAUCUUUUCUUCCCCCCUUCACCUUUUCUUUUCUUCGUAGUAUAUGGAAUAACCAUUCAAGAUAAAUUGAAAUCUUGAGGGAAACUUAAAUAUUUAAAACACUUUGUGUUGUGUCUCCACUUGUCCACUGCUGACAUCUUCAUAAAUAAGGUUGCAAGGAAGAAAUACAUAUAUCACAGAAGAAGAAAAUACAACAUGUUCAUAAACCUCUAGCUAGGCCGGACCCCACUCCCUCCAAUAACGGAGCAACAGAGUUCAAAGCAUCCAUGUGCAAAGAAACAAACAUUCAUCAUUCAAUGUAGUAUAACGGCACGGCAGAAGAUUAUCAUACCAUUUUCAUUGCAAAUCACAUUCGCGCUGUCGAUAUUCACCGCAAGAAGUCUUGUCGCGGUGGAAAAAUAUGAAAAGGGAAAGUAAAACGACAAUAUACGGCAUGUUCAAGGAAAGUACACCAAGGAUUUGACCUAUUAUUUUCAGAACUUUGCAUGUUCAAUUAUUUUUGCAGAUGGUGGCGGCAUAGGCAGGCAGAAUUAUCAACAUUUCCGGAAUCGGCACCAGACACUACUCUGAGACAAACCUCUAAGGAGAAAAAUAAAACAGUUUUAAGUAAAGGAUUACCAUACGAUAAUUCGCCAAGUCAGCGUUUAGAUGCGCCAAUAUAUUUGUUUUACACAUUGCAAAAAUAAAGUCAUUGUCAUGUGAUAUAGUAGUCAUACAUGACACGCGAAACAGUAAUAAUAACAGCAAAUAUCGCAACAUAAAAAAGAACAUUGUUCUCCCAAAAAUGCUUGUGUAAUAGUACCGCAUGAAUUUGGCAGCAGCUGCAAACAUGGUUAAAACAUCGGUUUCAUCAGGAAAAUAGAACAACCAUGUGGAAUUCUUUAGUUGGUGCAAAAGCUGAAACAGGGGGAAAGUAGCUUGGAGUCUUGGGACUUCCUCCAGGAAUAAACAGACGCAAGGUGCUAAGCUAGGAUUUGGUGCAAGGUGUGGCAUUAAUUCCCUCCGUGCAGCAGCGCUUUCAGAUUCAGAGAAUUCUUUGGUUCCAAGCCUAGCAUCUUGACUUUCACAGCAAAAAUUUAACCAAGUGUAAACAUCAAGUGCGGCUCUUCUGUGUGAUCUUCACUCUUUCCGCAGCCCGAACAUCAAAUGCAGCUACUGUAUCUCUUGCUAAAAAACGCGAGUUUUUUCAUAGGGUAUCUCUCGCUCUGGUUUACUUCUUGCGUACACCAAAAAGACAGACAUCAGCAAAAAUCAGCUUAUUUUCGUAUAGCGGCGCAUAGGAGCGUCCGUCCCAUGGCUUAUUCGAGGAUCCUCUCUCCGGUCGAAAAGACGUUCCACACCACUGUCCCUACUAUGUACAGCAGAACAGCCACCUGAAACACGCUGUCCCAAGAGCCUGCGAGCGAUAAAUACAGUAGGAAGUUAGCAUAUGAAAGAGUUGCAUAUUCUGUGUGAAAACAGGGUUUCACCUUUCUGAAGGAUGUAGCCAGUGGCAGCAGUACCAAAAACUCCUGCAAGCACGCCGGCGGUGUUCGACAGCCCAAGAAGCACCCCCUGCAAUUUUGCAGGACACUGUCUAGUCAGACACAUUCAUCGGAUCGCAAGCCAAAUCAAGCAACCAGUAGCCAAUGUCUUAUCUGAAGAACUAGUGAACACAAGAACAGUGACAAUUCAGACGAGGACAUUACCGCGUAACGCGGUCCUAUAUCCUGGUGGUUCGAGUACAGCCCAGACUGUGAAAAAGCAUCACUCCCCUACCAAAAAAUGAACAGAAAUAUCAGCAACCAAUCAUAGCACAAGAUUUAUUUGUGUUUCAGAAGUGCAAACCUGACUGCAUGCCAUACACAGCACGGCCAUGGCUGGUGUGCGGACUUUGCUCAGCAGUGUCAAGAACAAGGCUGGUCCAAGAAAACCGAUAGAUUGCAUGAUCUGCACGGAGACAGGUUGCAAAGCAUGUCAAGAUUGGCAACUAUGCGCAGAACGAACUUUUGCCCAGACACACACAAAAAAAAUACACACAGGAAAUAAUUAACAAGGUACUGAAAAUGAACUUACCUUGCGAACAUUUGUUAUCGAAACCCCUCUCGCAACAAGUGUGUCAGCUAUCCAGCCACCAACGUUUGCAAACACGGCCAUUGUCAGCCACGGCAGGACACACAGAAGCCCGGACUCGGUGAGAUUGAACUUCAGAACCUGUAUAAAACCGUUCGGUGGGUACAGCAUGCAUGACAUGAACCUGUAUAAAACCGGACGAGCAAUGAUGAAUGCCCAACAUUUUGCACUAAUAAAUUACCUGAUUGUAGUAUGUGGGCAUCCAUGUAAGGAGAAUGAAUGUUCCCCAGUUAUGGCAGAAAUGUGAUACUAUGAGGGCCCAUACUGCAGGCUUUGAUAGGAUUAACUUCCAUGGUAUGGAGGUAACAGGCUCCUUUAAGGUACUACCACCUAGUAUGUGCCUCUUUUCAUCUUCGGUUACUUCCGGAUCUUCACUCGGAGAGCUGCGCGCCUAAUUAGAACAGAGACCAGCAAUGAGCUGAAUAGCAAGGAUGAGAAUCUAAAAGCCGAAAAAACGUCACCAAGUAAAAGUUUAGCAUUCUCAUUUCCAGAGCUGUUCAUGUUAAAUUAAAUUCUGUGCACAGCAAGUACUUAUGACAUAUGCAAGUGCACUGAGAAAUAGCACCGCAUGGCAGAAGGUGAGAAAGGAGUGCAAAAAAUUGGUAUGUCUUACUUUGAGUUGCCACAGUGUAAACCAGAUGCUUCCCAGGGACCCAAAUCCAUAGAAAACAGAAGGCCAACCGAAUUUGCUUAUCAGGAAAGGUGAGAAGGCCAGGCCGGUAACUGAACCAAGGUACAUUCCACUGUAUACCAAUGCAAGAGAUCUGCUCCUCUCUGAAACCGGGAUCCAUUUGGAAAGGAUGUUGUUCAUGGCCGGCAUGGCAACACCCUGUUGGAAAAAUAGAUAUAAGAAAAAUAAGCCAAAAGGGCAUUUUUUGCAACAAGAGAUUGAUUUAUUAACGGUGUCUGUGCUACUAAUAAUUCUAAGAAGCUGAUAUAUAUAUCCAAAUACUUGAUGAUCCAUAACAUUUUAAGGCAUAUGUUGUCUAUACAUCUGAUGAAUAGCAUAAAGUAAUUUAGAGGGGGCAGUAGAAGACAUCUACCUCGCCUAUUCCCAUGAAAGCACGCACGACGAGUAGGAACGGAAGGCCAAGCUUGGCAGCAAAUGGUGUAAGAAUUGUUGCAAUAGACCACCAUACAACCCCGAACCCAAGGACCACCUUGCCGCCAAAACGGUCAGCCCAAAUGCCUCCAAGAAUCUGCAACACAAGUUCACGAAAUCAAGGACGGUGCCCAUGUACAUUCAAUUGAAACUGAAACUAAAAUCAAGAAUCUGCGACUGCAAGCGAAGGUGAACACUGAACAAUAAGAAACAAAUGCAGAGAAAAAUGCUCUAGGUACGAAUAUAGCAAUGUACCUGAGUGAGAAGGUAGCCCCAAAAGAAAGAAGACUGGAUGAGGCCAACGGUCGCCGGGCUCCAGCCGAACUCCGCUGACAUCGGGAGGAUGGCGAUACUCAUAUUGACCUGGCAGGGUUCAGUCAAUUAAUUCUCAGUACUGAAAUAACAGUCACAACAGAAAAAAGGUUCAGUUACACAAAGCACUAAUGAACUCACACGGUCCAUGUUGCAGAGCAGGAAUGAGAAGAAGCAGAGGACGACGAUGGUCAUGCGCUUGGGGAACUGCUGCCACCAGGCGGGAGAAGAAGCAGCCUCUGGGCUAGCAGCAUCUCCGACCAGGACGGCGGCCUCUGCGGGGACGUCGCCCAGCGGCGCCCCGGUCAUCUCGUACUGCUCGGCCCUGCAGUCUCCGCGCUGCUUUCUGACGGGCGCUCUGUACUCGGGCUGCAGCACCCCGGCGGUGUCGAGGCCGGUGAGGUUCUUGGGUUUGUGCCAUCCGCUGGUGACCGGGUCCGAGGAUAGGAAGCACUCGACCCUUGACAGGACCCUCCUCUUCACCAGGCCUGCAUUAUUGUUGCAGAGCCUCAUGGGAGUAGAGUUGAGCUGAGGCUGCUGAAUCUGAAUGUGGGCAGAGAAUUGGUUCCCGGUGCUCCUGGAGACAUGCCGGCCGGUUCCUCCAUUUCUGUCUCCGGCAACCAGCUGGGAGCACACCGGCCACCUGGUGUGUGGCGACGACGUAGAGGAAUACUUGAUCAUCAUCAUGGUGUGAUGUUGCUGCUGCUUUCCUGUAUGUAUGUAUGUAUGUAUGUAUGUAAGAGCAGCAGUCAGUUGAGCAUAAAGGUUAGGCCUGCAACAGAAGUGCAGAAGGCAUCUCAAGGGAAAACAAGACACAACUAACUCAGUGUCACUACACUCUCUGUAUUCCCUCUGUGACAGGUGCAUUUCUAGAUUCCCUCUGUGAUAGUGCUCUAAACGCCAGCUUUUAUAUUAGUUUACGGAGGGAGUAGUAUUUAUGGUUGUGGAGUGUUGAGCGAUGGAAUGCUGUAGGGCUCAUUCAGUUUGGAGGAAACUAAUUAAAACGGAGGAAUUACAACUAGUAUAGGAAUGUGAGAGGAUAGCACUCGAAAAGUGAGUGGGCGUGCAAUUUCCUCCCAAGACAUAACAUAGGAAGGAAAUGUCCUAGGAAAGAAAAGAAAGAGAUUCCUAUACUCUGUUUGUGUUUGGUACAAACCCAAUGCAUGCACGCUUUUAAUCUGGGAAACUGUCAAUUCGGUAUCUAGUGUGUUGGUUCUGGUGUAAUACUCCCUCUGUAAACUAAUAUAAGAGCAUUUAGAUCACUACUUUAGUAUUCUAAACGCUCUUAUAUUAGUUUACGGAGGGAGUACUUACUAAUCUACUACUCCAGCUGGUGGAUUCGUGUCAUUCCCCCCUAACCAAACCAAGAGAGUGAAGGAAGGAUGGGAAUGAAGAAUCUGUCGAGUACGCACCUGCUGCUGGUGAAGAAGAGGAGGAGGAGGAGGCGAGGAAGGCUGCUCUGCUGGAGGAGAGCACCGCCCCCAUCGCCAUGGCCAUCCAGAAGGAAUGCUCUGCUGGAGGAGGCGAGGAAGGCUGCUCUGCUCUGCUGGAGGAGCUUGCUGCGUCCACUCCAGGUAGCAGCAAGCUCAGGUCAGGGAAGCUGCCGGAAGGAAGCAGCUCAGCUCAGGGGCAGCAUCUGUCUCCGGUGAAGAAGGAAAGGGAGGAAGCCAUGGAGCGAGCGAGUGAGGGGAGGGGACGAGAAGGAGAGGUGGACGUGCGGAUAAGUGGACUCUCU